Molecule: small nucleolar RNA, 157 nt
Filed under: Zea mays
Lineage: Eukaryota; Viridiplantae; Streptophyta; Magnoliopsida; Poales; Poaceae
Description: Zm_44
Rfam family: Small nucleolar RNA snoR77 (bases 17-155)
Source: RNAcentral
UAACGAGCAACGAUUCAGGCAGCCCCUUUGUCCGAUCUCAAUGUCAAUGGAGGUGUUGCGUUGCUCGGAGAAGAAAAUCUUUUGGUCUCAGAUCGGUUGAGGUGGGGAGGUCCCCUCCCCCCGUUGAGGCUAGUCUAGUAAAUCUUAAGAACAUACC